RNAcentral lists this long non-coding RNA (1952 nucleotides) under Macaca nemestrina (pig-tailed macaque). RNAcentral's name for it is "lncRNA (ENSMNEG00000045784.1)". Lineage: Eukaryota; Metazoa; Chordata; Mammalia; Primates; Cercopithecidae. The record is from RNAcentral.
ACCGCGCGUUGGGAUUCGUAGUGUUGUUGAAGACCGGAGGAGUGUCUGCAGUCAGCGACUCUCCACCAACUUCAACUACUGGAUCAACCAUGGUGGGAGACCCAGCCUGGCAAGCAUGCGUCCUGGGCUGUCUGUGGACCUGGAACCUGCUGUCAUAGGUGAGUGGAUGGAGGAGUAGGGGCCCCUUCCCCUAGGCCAUAGUUUUUGCUAGUGCCAAUGUCUGUUUAAGGGGAAAACACUUGAGAUGCAAGCAGUCCCCUGCCAUGAAUGGCACUGAAGUCUGAAGUCUAUUGCUUUUGUCUAGACUGUGUCCUCAGAGGGGGUCUUGGAGGCUUCCUGUAUUGAGAGGAAGAUCAUUAGCACAGCUCUGCCAGGAAGCUGCCAGAUAGGAGUCAGGGAUCAGGCCUAGAAUGCAGACUGCAGAAAGGAGCAGAUGUAAAAGCAGAAAUUUAAAACUUGCUUUUCAGUGUCCUCAGACUCUUGAGGGCAGCCUGUUACGUAAGAAGCAGGGAGCCGAGAACAUUCAUAAUGGCCCCCUGCUCGGCCUUAACUGAAAUAGGCCCCCACAUAGGAUGUGGGCCUGUGUGAACUUGGCUGUUGCUGGCUUCCGGGGGCUUUCCUGCUUCCUCCCUUCUGCAUCUGGAUCUCCUCAGUUUCCUAAUCAUGACAAUUCUACCCCUCCUGCGUUUUUUUAAAGCUGUUAUUUUAGAUGUUAAAUGGUGGACUGGGUUUCUUCAUUAGUCUGUAUUCUUUUUUUUUUUUUCUCUCUUUCUGUGGUGAAAAUUUACAUUGGGCUGUAUUCUUACCCCAUUCAAAAGUGAAGUGAGAUUCUCCUUAACACCACUCUGAUUCCUCACCCAGCACAAUGAAGUGGCUGUGAUCAGAGGGAAGGGACCACUGAAGGUGCCACUUGCUCUCCCCGUCUCAGGCCCAGGCAGGACCCAGCCUUAGAAGUGGGUCUCUGGUUGGGAGGCUGAGGCAGGAGAAUUGCUUGAACCCGGGAGAAGGAGGUUGUGGUGAGCCAAGAUCGUGCAAUUGCAUCCAGCCUGGGCAACAAGAGCGAGACUCUGUCUCAAAAAAAAAAAAAGAAAAAAAAAGAAAAGAAAAAGAAGUGGGCCUCUGGGACGCCGUGUAUUAUCACUCUGUUGGGCAGUUGUACCUGGGGAGGCUUAGCAGCAAAGGUUCUGGUGUCUGGCGUUCCCUUGGGGAUGAACCAGCUUGUUUUACCUUUGUUCUUUCUUCCCCUCAGGAUGGGGUAAGAACUGACAUUUAUAGGCAGCUCUUCUACCCUGGGCAGCUGGUAUCUGGCGUGGAAGAUGCUGCCAACAACUAUGCCUGUGGCCACUACACUGCGGGGAAGGAGACCAUCGAUUUGGUGCUGGAGCAAAUCGGAAAACUGGCGAGCAGGCCUCCGGCACCUACAGGAGGUUGGCAUCAACUACCAGUCCCCCACAGUGGUGCCCGGGGGUGCCGUAGCCAAGGUGCAGUGGGCAGUCUGCAUGCUAAACAAUACCACAGCCAUCACCAAGGCCUGGACCCGCCUCAACCCAAAGUUUGACCUGAUGUAUGCCAAGCAGGCAUUUAUGCACUGGAAGUAAUCAGAGAGCUUUGUGGCAAAGCUCAUGAGGAAGGCGUGAUCUACGUUCUGCUUGGAGUAGAAUUCGCCACAAAAGGCUUCAUCUCUGACGCUGUCAACAGUGGGGUAGGCAUCGGAUGGAGCAUGGAUCAUUAGCAACUGCCCUUUCAAGAUCUGCGGGCUGAAGAGGCUUGAAAUAUGGGCAACAGUUUCUCUGAGCCAGGUGAGGUCAGAAUCUGCCAGGUGGACCAGCACCGUGAGGUGUUUCUGCUCAGCCUUAGAGGAAACACGGAACAGAGAGACCAAUGUGUACAAGAGGCUGCUUCUGUCCCCUUGCUGCACUGACGAUAUCCCCACUGUCAGCCAUGCUGAGGAG